This 345-nucleotide unclassified non-coding RNA is filed under the name Hevea brasiliensis (rubber tree). The record is from RNAcentral. Lineage: Eukaryota; Viridiplantae; Streptophyta; Magnoliopsida; Malpighiales; Euphorbiaceae.
CACAUCCCCAUUCUCACAUUCCAUGAAUUCUCUAUACUCUCUACUCUUACUAUUAUCUUCAUUAUUUAUCAUCUUCUUCUUCCAUGCCAUUAUUGCAACAAAAAUAUAUGGUGCCAUGCAUCUCUUGUGACGAACUCAAAAGUGGCCAUGUGAUGCUUCUCCUAUUGACACCUGGAUAUCCUUGAGUAGACACAAAAAUUGCUUCUAACCCACUCUUGGCCAUCCUUCAGGAAUAUAAUUAAAGAAAAAUAAAAUUUUAAGCACAACUUAAAAAAAAAAAAGAAAGGUUUGUACUGGAGAGGCGGUGUUGGUGCAUGCUGCAGUGAGAUAGAAGGGAGGUUGAGG